GCAGAUGGACAGCGCACACCAGCAGGCUGCACACCUUCUUCCUCACUAUGCAGACACCAUCACAUUCCUCCAUUAUCCCUCUUCCUCUGUGAGUGUGUGUAUGUAUGUGUGUGUCUGCAUUAAAACAUCCAGCUGCAGGCUGACGUUUUUACUCACAUUUACCCUAUUUUAAACAAAUGCAUCAUUCUGCAUUUUUUUAAAUAAAACACGACACUAAAAACGAGGUUUAAAAUCAGUGUUCGCAGGAUUUUCUCACGAUGAAUCUCGCUUUAGAUGUCGAAAUAAAUGAAGCAACCCGUCAGUGAUUGUUCAUACGUGACAAAUCGAUUCAAUUUACAGAAAUGUAAAAACGAUUUUUUUUUCCUGCAGGGAUGAUUGUGAUGAUUUGAAAUAUUUCGGUUCCCUGGUGGAUCAAAUGGCGUCCAUAGGGACAGGAGGGAGGUCUGCAGAAAUGUGACUGCUCCGCUUCAAAUAAACUGCAUUUCAUGCUGCACGUCGAGCCGACAACUUUUUUUCCCUUCUCUUUCAUCAGUCUAUAUUUUGGAGAAAAAAAGGCUGAGCCUGGGCCUGCUUUGAAGAUAAGGCAGAAAAAUCCAUUUGCAGACGGAAAUUUUAAUUUGAACGAGCCCUGCCUUCAGUUUGUCAUUCACACUGCGACGAAUGCUGGAUGGCCCAUUUUGUGCAGCACUUUUGACAGUUUUAAUUGCAAGAAAAAGACGAGGCCUUGUGCUGUGUGUGUGUGUGUGCAGAAAAAUACACGAUCUGCACCAAAAAUAAGCAGCACAAAAGGCCGCAGUCUUUACACCUUCUGCUGCUUUAUUCUAUUUUCUAUCUCAUCUCUAAAAAUGAUCUGCAUCUCCAAUUUGAACCUACGAGCGCAAUUUUGUGCGAAUUCUCCAAAGUAGGAGGAUGACAAAUAUAUUUGUCUUCAUCGCUGCAGCACACAUUUUGAUUUGUCGGGUUUUAAGAGUUAAUAGGAUUAGAUGAUUCUUGGGCAUUUAUGCAGAGGGAAUUCCUAAUCAGGCUUUUUCCAGAAAAAAGGGAAAGAAAAACGGGUCUCCAGAAUGGGCGUGACCCAGCUGGGAAUGCGUCUCUUUUCCCUGCAAAGGGCCCAAAGGUGCUUCAUCACCUGCAACUCCACCGCUAAAAUCACCAACAGAGUAGAAAUAAAAAGGUGUUAUGCGUUUCAAGGCCUCGUGCAAAAAAUGAUAAUAAUAAUAAAAAAAAAAAUCUUUUUUUUUCAAAACGACUGCAAUCAUUUUAUUUUGAUGGCGUUUCUUUAAUGUUGAGAAUUAAGACGUUUAAAUAUGUCUGUUUCCUCUGCAGACUGCUUCAGCUAUUUGAAAUAAAAUGAGGACAUCUUGUCUGAGCGAAGUUAGAUGCUCAGUCGUAUUUUCUGCAAAAAUCCCCCCUCCCUCCGCUCGGUUUAAUGUUCCUUGUCGUCGUCGUCCCCCCCAGUGUAAGGCUGGGGUGGUGUGGGUGGGUUUGGGGGUAGGAUGGAGGCUGUUUUGGGUAAUUUGGCUGCUCUGUUUUUUUUUCUUCUGGUUGGCAGCCGAUUAACUGCGCUGACAAAUCAGGCGCAAAAAGCCAAGGGCUCUCAAGGUAACACUAAUCCCUCUGGGCGGGGAAAGGCAAAAAUAACGCAGGAUUUUAGGGAAUGAUCGUUUUUAAUUUUUAUGUCUGGGUUCAUCAGCUGAACCAUCUUUACAUCCUUGAAAAUAAUAAUGUUUGGUAAAUAAAUGAAUAAAUAAAUCCUCAUUUCUGCUGCAGGUACAUUCAGGCCUGGUACGCACAGGCACGUGAUGUCUUGCACCGUUUAAUUUGGGCUGACUGACCAAUCAUAGCGCAGGAUGGUCACAUAAUUAAAAGGCAAACUAAACUAGCAGAAGGCGGAAGAAAAAUGGAUGCAGUGUGGUGUUACAUAAACUGCUGCUGAGGGUGGUGGUGAGAGAAAAAGGCGAGGUAUUUGUGGGUGUGUUCACUGGUGGAGUGUGUAGUGAUUUGUGUGUAGAUAGAAGUGUGUGUGUGUGCAGCUUUGAUUACUGUGUGUAACAUUUCUCCUUGUGCCUGCAGUGAUUUCCGCGCGUGUAUUUCAAUUUUCUAGUGUGUAUUUUCUGGGGAGUGUAAAUGCAGACAUGGUGUGUGAAUGUCUGCAGAUGUCUGCAUGGGGCAAGCGUCGAAUACGUGUGUGUGUGUGUGUGUGUGUGUGUGUGUGUGUGUGUGUGUGUGUGUGUGUGUGUGUGUGUAGAGGCGUUUGUGGGGUGCUGGGUGCUCUUCUAACUGGGUGAUGUAAUGCCGUGAAGGGUGCUGCAGCAGAACCACAGAGCCCAGAGAAGGCGUGUCCUGCCUGCAGAGUAGCUGAUAACAACACGGUGCCCACGCUGCACCCGACGCCAAAAUAACAGGCUCCCACACACACGCACGCACACUCACACACAUGCAAACACAUACACCCUCCCUCACUCUUACUCAUCUCCUUCUUUUUACGUUAAGCCCACCUAAAUUCUUUAUUAGUCUGCUUAUUGAUGCUCGGGCUGAAAAUUUGAAACAAAGGUGAGUGAUUAAAAAAAAAAAAAAAGGGGGGGGGGGGCAUAAUCUUAAAAUUUUACUUCAGGAUUUGUUUAAAUCUGCAGAUGUAGCUCUUAAAAAUCAAUCUGUACAUUACAACUGUCCUCCAGUCUGCAGAAAAAAAGAUGUCUAGCUCUUCAAACCUGAUGCAGGAGAGAGGAUGGUGAAACUAGCAGGAUGGAAAAGUCACUAAUCGUAUUUACUCACAUGACUGCAGGCUAACUUCACCUUUAAUGUGCAUUCAAUGUCCGUUACAUUUUUAAAAACAGCACUAUGUUUUAUAAUUCAGUUUAUUCUGUGGAAAGUGUUGCACAAAUCUCCUUUUACGUAGCAUCAGUUACUGACUUAAAAUAACUAAAAACAUGGGCUGCAAGCUUUGCAUCAUCUGCAUUACAGCCAGCUGAUUGGAUGACUCUUACCAAUGGAAUUCGUCUCAUUUCUAGUCAAAACAUCUCAUAAUAAAUCAUUAAAGCUACACUGACAUGUCAGGCCCAAUGUAGAACCUAUUUAAUGAUAUUUAAAGCCAGCUUUUUUCUUAAUCAGUGCCUCCUGUUUCAAGGAAGAAAAUAGUGCUUGCAACAUCUGCAGCCAUUUUUUUCAUUGCAAUCAAUGAUGAGAUUAUUCUUGGCUCAUAAUAAUAAUACUAACCCUCUCUGCACAGCCAGACACGAGUCAAACCUGCAGGGAGCGUGCAUAAAGUGCAAUCCUGACAAAAGAGGCUGCAAAAUUAUUUAGAAACUUCACCCUAGAUAGAUGCACGGUCCAACACACUCCACACAUUAGUGCUGUUGAUUUUAUUGUAAAAGUUAGUUUGGGAAAAAUAUCCUUUUAAAUAAUAUGAGCGCAUAUUUGAUAGGGGUGGGAGGAAAAAAUCGAUACAGCAUAGUAUCGCAAUGUUUUGUCUGGUGAUAUAUUGUAUUGUCUCAUUUACCAAGUACAAAUCUUUCAAAUUAAUCACUAAUAUGAAGUCAAUUCGAUGAUAAUGGAAAAAUAAAAUCACCUGUUUGUCCAGUUUGGUUGGCAGAGGUGACAUCAUAGAGCAGGAGUAAGUUUGUGCAACAAAUGUAUAUGAGGUUUGCAAGAUGUGCUACAUGAAAAUAAAAUACAGCGUAAAUAAGACAAACAUAAAGGAGAGACAGAUGCUAAAUAAGCUAAACAGUUGAAAAAAUUGUAUAAAUCGCAAUAUAUGGUAUCGCAAUACUCACUGUAUUGCAAAAUGUUAAAAAUCACAAUAAUAUUGUAUCGUGGCCCAAGUAUCAUGAUAAUAUUGUAUCAUGGGGCCACUAGUGAUUCCUAGUAACCCCUACUAUUUGACAACCCCAAUCUUCACUGCCAUAGGUGAAAGGUACUCAGUAAUUUUAGUACAUUUCAAAUCAAAUACCUUUUACUUUUCUUGGAGUAAAUACACAGAUUUUGGGGCUAUCAUAGUUGUUGCAGUGGUUGCUGGUUCAACACCCAGCCAUGACCAUUUGGUGCAUAUUCUAUAUUCUUCUUUCCAAACCCCACAUUUUUUUAAUCUAUUCUCAGCUUUUGAAUUUAUUACAGGCAGAAAUGCUUCCCCCAAAAACCUUCAAAAUAAUGAUAUUAUCAGUGCUUUUAUUAAUGCUGCUGAAAAACAGGGAUUUUGCAGGAUUGAAUAUGUCAGCCAUGCACCUCAAAAAGACAGAAAAUCUAAAAAAGACUAAAAGAGAAUUAACCAGCUAAAAAUGAUUUCGCACAAUCACUGCUGUCAUCUUUUGAAUGCUCAUUGUCGCAUGAGUCUGAUAAGAAAACAUUCGAUUAUACAAGAUUGUGAUUUUCACCGUCAGAGACGUUUGCAGUGUUGUGGUUCCUCCCUUAAGUGUCUGCAGGUCUGCUCAGCUUCAGGAGUGGAUUUGCAUCAGUAUGACUGAGAGUGUUUCUCCUGUUACACCCUCUCUGCAGGUUUUUCCACACAUGAAAUGAGCCCGAAAAGAUGGAUAUCAGCCUUUAAGAUGGAGGCUGAAUUCUGCCAUGUGCACCCAGAAAGGUGUGUGUUUUUGAAACGUGAUGAGGAGCAAGGAGAAAGAGGAGUGUCGGGGUGUUUUUGUGAGAUGCAUGAGUGGGAGUGGAUGAGGUGGAACAUCUCUCCCUCCUCUCUUGUCUUUCCUCCUCUGUCAGGUUUCAUGUCCUGGUCAAAUGAUGUUGCUUGUUCAAUGCAGCAGCAGAGACAUGCAGAAGAAAAUGGCACCUCUGUGGAUCAGAUGUGAGCUGCAGCUUAUUCAGAGGCCUCACGCUGAGCUGAGCAGAUCGGAGAAAUCUCACUGAUUUUAUCUCCCAGCUGUGGAGGACAUUUUGUCAUUGCGUCUGGACGAACUCACUGCAUCUGUGCGCAUGUGUUUUAUUUUGUAGAGUGUGUGUGUGAUGAUGAGGGCACCUGCUGUAAAAUUACAGGCAAGUGGCAUCCAUUAAAACACAAGGGGCCUGCCGGUGGGCUGCUUUUAUUUGCAUUUAUACACACACAUGCGCGCGGCCGUCUCAGUGUGUGUGGUUGUUAAUAGGAUCCAGAGUGCCGCUGCCUUUUGUCAGUGUGUGUAUGUGGAUUCGUCCCUGUGGGGUUGGUCAAAGGAGCCUUUCACCGAGAACAAUGAUCCAUGCCGUUUAGCCUUUUAACCCUCACGCUCCCCACACUGCAACAAAAGACACACACACACACACAUGCUGCAGAGAGCAGGAACAAGUCUGCAUCUGUAAACACAAGUGUGAUUUCUCUGACACUGAUCCGCUGAUAGACUCAAAAUGCAUCAUUUAAAAAGACCACAGCAGUAAAGGCACAAAAUAAUCAAAUAAAAAAAAAAAAACAGAAAAGACAGAAAGUUCAAUUUUAACAGCUUUCAGGUUUAAGUGUAAAAAAAAAAUAGCUUUAAAGUAUCUGAGGAAACAUAAGUCAGGCUUUGGAGAGGCCAGUGGAUAUGUUGUUUCAGAAUGAGACUGCAAGGGACCCAAAGGUUGAUCAAAAUGCUAAGAAAAUCUGAACUGUGUUACAGUUAAAAAAAGCAAAAAACAAAGAAAAAAAACCAAACCCGAUAAAUUAAAUAAAACAUUCUGCAAAUUCAACAUGAUGGAGAAGCAAUUUUAUGUCUGGAAAUCAGCAAAAACAUCCACAUUAUUGCAGGAAAAAAGGGCCUAUGGUUGCGAGUAAAACAGCUCUUGAUUAAUAUGACAUCCAACUUUGCACUAAAAAAUUUUGGCUCAUUAUAAACCCAAACCUGGUGGAAAUAAACCCUCAGCUUUGGUUUGGAUGUCUCUGUGACGUCUGGAGCAUGGAUUGGCUGGUAUCUCUUCUCUUAUCAGAGGCCCUGAGCUGAGCCCAGCCUCCAGGAUGUAUUUACUGCCUUUUUCUCUCUCUAUUAUUUUCACUCAGCCUGCACCUUAGGCCAUCAAAAGAAGAUAACAUCCACUCCCAACCUGGAAGCUUCUGGUCUUGGUGGUCAAAACCUCCCUUGUAUAAAAUAUGCUCCUGCUGCAUGAUGAUAUACUGUAAGUCCAAAGUUUUAACCCUGGCAUUGUAAGUCACACAAGAUUGAAAUAUUUCUCAGAUUAUCCUGAAACAUAAUUGAGAGUAGAAAAGUAAGAUUCAAGCUACAUCUACAUUUUUAAUAAUCAUGAAGAAAAAUCACAAAAAUGAAAAAAAAAAUAAAAAUAAAAUGGGUGGUGAGGAGAAGUAUUUUGUAAUUAUACACAGAGAUGCAUGGUACACAAAGUGAAGACACUGCAGAGUGGAUGUAAAUGCAUGCAUAUGCGUACACAAAUGUAGCCUCCACAAGUUUUUUUUCUUUGGCACUGAAAUUAAAACAGGAUUAAUUUUUAAAGUGGAGAAAAAGCCCUAGAUUUAGAUUUUACACACUCAAGAUUCAUAAAAAACAUACAUGAAAGGUGUGGUGUGGUCCGGACAAGGGCUAAGAAGCCGGGUCAACAUAAAAGGAUGGGGGACGCUUCUGGAUCUUACAGACCCUGUAAUCUUUCUGCUGCACAGGCAGACAGCUUUAACAAAGUAAGCCAAGUGUCUGUAACAGAAGUGAUUCUGGUCAAACGGGACCUGCUGCGUGUUGUGGCGCCACUAAACUGUUGACCUUUGGUCCUGGACUAUGUCACUUUAUCCUAGUUGUAGAAGUCCUGCAAACAUUGUGUUUGCUGGUAGUCUGUUGGCAUCUACAGUAGCACCAAUGCUUUUUACUUUCACGUUGACUGGGCCCCAUUUGUAAUUAUCUGGAGUAUUUAUCUGCAUUAUAUCUGAAUUUAAUUGAAACAAUACGAGCGAGCAGGAGGAGCUGAGGGGAAAACUGGUUGGGAGAGAUAGAGUUUACAUUCAAAAUUUCUCCUAAAAACUGAAACUAACUCAGAUCCUGCCUACCCCACCUUUAAACAUGUAAAGGGUAAGCUAAACAAAACCUUCUUUGUCCACAGGGGGCGCUAAAACUAACGCAGACUAGAAGUUCUGGAGGAGACUUGUUUUUUUUAGAGGACACCAAAUGAGUUUUAACAUGAGUAAUAGCUCUUUAAUGCUUUGUUUGUUUACAUUAUCCUCUUUAAUCAAAUAGACCAACAGUAUUAAGUGGAGCAAAAAAGUAUUUUUGUCUUCACUGAACUUUUGAUUUUAUGGGCAUGUGUUUUAUUGAGAACAUUUGAGGCUGUAUGGACUGUAACAGAUGUUUGGCACACUGAUUAUCCCUCUGAACUAAUUUGACAAAAACAUAGAAAUAACUGAAAGUACCCUGAGUUACAAAUAUAACCUUGAAAGUAGCCCACAUAAUAUCUGUAACCUUUUCUAUUCAGCAGCCAAACCGACCUCUUGAUAAAGAAGUUGUGCAUGACAUCAUAAAGUCCUCUUUUUAAUAAAUGUUGAAUUGUAAACUAAAGAAUUAACUGUAAAACCAUUAUACUAGAAAAUGAACAGCAACAAACGAGCAUCUCAUCAGACCUAAUGUUUGAUAUAAAUACAUGACGACACAGUGCCUUAAAGUUUGUAAGCAUUGUGACAACCAACCCCAGUCUCCCCUACUUUUCAACCUUUACAAGACUAACACUUUACCCACACACAUGGUAAUGAAUCCAUCCAAGUCACACGGUUUGAUCCUUUGAGUCACUUUAGACCCUCAUUUGAUUUAAUGUGUCGUGUGAGUCAUCCUCCACAGCAGCGGUUUGUAGCUGUAGUGCAGCUGUGGGUGGGUGCACGUGCUUAGCCAAUCAGGAGGACUUUCAAUGGAUCAUAGUUAUGCAUUGAUACUGAUGCUGUUUCAUGUGUGUGUUUGAGGAUGCCGGUAAUAUUAUCAGUGAUGUGGCUGAUAUAAUAAGAUUGGUCUGCAGUCAGAUAAGUGGUUCUCAGGUCUUGUUUUAGUUCAUGUGGAUGUUGCAGAACCUCUUGAAAGGGUUAGUGUUCCUGCAUAUACACCCCUGGUUUGUUGUGAAGGUCGCUGCAUGUGCACAAUGCCACAAUAGUUCUUGAUCACUCAUUCAAUAAAUAUUUUAUACCAAUUCAGAGGCAUAAAAGUGAAACUGUACCAAUUCAUCCAAAAUCCAGAAAUAAAUAGGAACCACAUAGAUCAGAAAGAACUUAUCAUAAAAUCCAAAUGGUCCAAAUAUCCCCUCGGUUCUGAUAAUUUCAACACCUCAGCAGGUUGAUAAGCAGCAUAAGUGUGACAAUCUGCAGUCUACGAGGUUUGAUAUCAGGUCAGAGCGAAGAAAACACAUUUCAUGGUUUAUUUUUUGUGCUGGAAUUUAUCUGAAAUAUGUGGACAAGUCUCAGUUUAUCACAUACACUGCAGGCUGAUACAGUAUAGUUCAUUUUCAGUGUGUGUUUUUAUUUCCAUACUGCACAGACUCACACUGUUUCCUUGAUUAUGCUGACUCGCCAGAUCUCUGGGUGCUAUCCACAUAAAGGCAGAUGAUGCAACUGAGGUGUAAUGGUAUAUCUGCACAUGUAUACUCACUAUAACUAAAAUAAGCUAUUGUAAGUAAUUCAAAAUGAUGAAAGUAUUUGCUUUUUAUUACUCAGCAUGUCGCAGGUAUUAAAUGUUGAAGCAUGUUGGCAUUGAUGAUUCAUCUUUCCAUCUUUCAGAGGUCAUAGUGUUCAGCUCCAGAACUCCCCAAAUCCAACAGCUGGUACCACUUACAUUACCAUAUGCAGAUGUUUUGAAAUUGGCCCCUCAAAAAUGAUUGAUUUGCACCUGAGAUAUGUGACCACACUGGUGUUUGGGGUAUUCAAGUUGAGUUCUGCAUUAGAAACCUUUUUUUUUUUUUUGCCUUGCAUUUCAUGGCUGUUUUAUUCCUCUACAUGUAAUUAUUUACACACCAAGUGUAAUAUCCAUUCUCUUAAUAUUUCAUUAGCUCCUCUCUGUGUUUAUCUGUGUGUGCAGAAAGCUGUCUCUCCAGGCCUGUGAUCAGAUAAAGUUGGUCUGCCCGACUCUGCCAUGAGAAUAAUAGGCUCAUUUACUCUGCAGAUGACCGAUAAGACACACACACACGCACGCACACAUGCACGCACGCACGCACACACACAAAAACCCUCUUUUAAAAACAGAAUCCAAAAAUAUCAGCAACAUCACAGGCUUUUCUAAUGAGGAUGGACGGCUGCUGGUCCAGUCAGCUGAGAAGAGUCCACUGAAAUACAGUCCAGCCCUCUGCUUUCUAAGAAAGUGUUUACUCAAUAAGUGUCCCAUUUGUCUUCAUUACAUCAAUAUCCACAUGUAAUUUGUGUUAAUUGUACCAUCCAUCAGGGCUGUCGCUCCUCAGAGGACAAUCAGAUCAUCUCCUCACUGUUGGGUUCAGGGAGUUUGGGGUACUUUGAGAUCUGGUUGGAGUUUGCAUUUGAAUUCUGUUUCUGUUCAUGUUUCACACAACGACUGAGCUUCAGUGAAAUUGAGGUUUGCAGAUUUGUGUCAAAGCGCCUCUGAACCUGUGCUGCAGUGUUGACAUGGACUUACUCUGACCCUCUUUCUCCUCUUCCUCUCUCUGA
Non-coding RNA from Xyrichtys novacula (pearly razorfish), 9541 nucleotides. The record is from the annotation of a GenBank genome assembly. NCBI's taxonomy places the organism in Eukaryota, Metazoa, Chordata, Actinopteri, Labriformes, Labridae.